Molecule: ribosomal RNA, 353 nt
Filed under: uncultured bacterium
Lineage: Bacteria
Description: bacterial SSU rRNA
Rfam family: Bacterial small subunit ribosomal RNA
Source: RNAcentral
AUUGAACGCUGGCGGCGUGCUUAACACAUGCAAGUCGAUCGGUAACAGGUGUAGCAAUACGAUGCUGACGAGAGGCGGACGGGUGAGUAAUGCUUGGGAAUCUGCCUAUUAGUGGGGGACAACCCGGGGAAACUCGGGCUAAUACCGCAUACGCUCUACGGAGGAAAGCCGGGGACCGCAAGGCCUGGCGCUAAUAGAUGAGCCCAAGUCGGAUUAGCUAGUUGGUAGGGUAACGGCCUACCAAGGCGACAAUCCGUAGCUGGUCUGAGAGGACGACCAGCCACACCGGAACUGAGACACGGUCCGGACUCCUACGGGAGGCAGCAGUGGGGAAUAUUGGACAAUGGGGGCAA